Molecule: ribosomal RNA, 440 nt
Filed under: uncultured bacterium
Lineage: Bacteria
Description: partial 16S ribosomal RNA
Rfam family: Bacterial small subunit ribosomal RNA
Source: RNAcentral
CCUACGGGCGGCAGCAGUGGGGAAUAUUGCACAAUGGGGGAAACUCUGAUGCAGCGACGCCGCGUGAAGGAAGAAGUAUUUCGGUAUGUAAACUUCUAUCAGCAGGGAAGAAAAUGACGGUACCUGACUAAGAAGCCCUGGCUAACUACGUGCCAGCAGCCGCGGUAAUACGUAGGGGGCCAGCGUUAUCCGGAUUUACUGGGUGUAAAGGGAGCGUAGGCGGCGUUGCAAGUCAGAAGUGAAAGCCCGGGGCUCAACUCCGAGACUGCUUUUGAAACUGGGUGGCUAGAUUGCAGGAGAGGUAAGCGGAAUUCGUGGUGUAGCGGUGAAAUGCGUAGAUAUUACGAAGAACACCAGUGGCGAAGGCAGCUUACUGGACUGUAAAUGACGCUGAGGCUCGAAAGCGUGGGGAGCAAACAGGAUUAGAUACCCUGGUAGUC